RNAcentral lists this ribosomal RNA (668 nucleotides) under uncultured bacterium. Its description in RNAcentral is "bacterial SSU rRNA". It matches the Rfam family "Bacterial small subunit ribosomal RNA", at positions 235 to 916 of the family's 1533-position model. The record is from RNAcentral.
GGCCGAUUAGCUAGUUGGUGGGGUAACGGCCUACCAAGGUGACGAUCGGUAGCUGGUCUGAGAGGAUGGCCAGCCACACGGGGACUGAGACACGGCCUCGACUCCUACGGGAGGCAGCAGCGAGGAAUCUUGCGCAAUGGGCGAAAGCCUGACGCAGCAACGCCGCGUGGGUGAUGAAGGCCUUCGGGUCGUAAAGCCCUUUUGCGGGGGAAGAAGUUCUGACGGUACCCCGCGAAUAAGCCACGGCUAACUACGUGCCAGCAGCCGCGGUAAUACGUAGGUGGCAAGCGUUGUCCGGAUUUAUUGGGCGUAAAGAGCGCGUAGGCGGCUCGUCAAGUCCGGGGUGAAAUCUCCCGGCCCAACUGGGAGGGGUCCUCGGAUACUGGCAGGCUAAGAGGAGAGCAGAGGAGAGUGGAAUUCCCGGUGUAGUGGUGGAAUGCGUAGAUAUCGGGAGGAACACCAGUGGCGAAGGCGGCUCUCUGGGCUCUACCUGACGCUGAGGCGCGAAAGCGUGGGGAGCGAACCGGAUUAGAUACCCGGGUAGUCCACGCCGUAAACGUUGGACACUAGGUGUAGGGGGUAUCGACCCCCUCUGUGCCGAAGCUAACGCUUUAAGUGUCCCGCCUGGGGAGUACGGCCGCAAGGCUAAAACUCAAAGGAAUUGACGG